GACGAACGCUGGCGGCGUGCUUAACACAUGCAAGUCGAACGGAAAGGCCUGCUUUCCCUUGUGGAUUGCGGGUACUCGAGUGGCGAACGGGUGAGUAACACGUGAGUGAUCUGCCCCCAACUUGGGUAUAAGCCUGGGAAACUGGGUCUAAUUCCCGAUAGGACUGCAGGGUGGUGCCUGUGGUGGAAAACGAUUUUCUAGUGGUUGGGGAUGAGCUCGCGGCCUAUCGGCUUGUUGGUGGGGUAAUGGCCUACCAAGGCGGCGACGGGUAGCCGGCCUGAGAGGGUGGACGGCCACAUUGGGACUGAGAUACGGCCCAGACUCCUACGGGAGGCAGCAGUGGGGAAGAUUGCACAAUGGGCGGAAGCCUGAUGCAGCGACGCCGCGUGGGGGAUGACGGCCUUCGGGUUGUAAACUCCUUUCGACCGCGAGGAAGCCACCUGGUUGGAAGGGUGGUGACGGUAGUGGUAGAAGAAGCACCGGCUAACUACGUG
Molecule: ribosomal RNA, 494 nt
Filed under: uncultured bacterium
Lineage: Bacteria
Description: partial 16S ribosomal RNA
Rfam family: Bacterial small subunit ribosomal RNA
Source: RNAcentral